AACGAACGCUGGCGGCAUGCCUAACACAUGCAAGUCGAACGAGAUCUUCGGGUCUAGUGGCGCACGGGUGCGUAACGCGUGGGAAUCUGCCCUUUGGUUCGGAAUAACAGUUGGAAACGACUGCUAAUACUGGAUGAUGACGAAAGUCCAAAGAUUUAUCGCCAGAGGAUGAGCCCGCGUAGGAUUAGCUAGUUGGUGUGGUAAAGGCGCACCAAGGCGACGAUCCUUAGCUGGUCUGAGAGGAUGAUCAGCCACACUGGGACUGAGACACGGCCCAGACUCCUACGGGAGGCAGCAGUGGGGAAUAUUGGACAAUGGGCGAGAGCCUGAUCCAGCGAUGCCGCGUGAGUGAUGAAGGCCUUAGGGUUGUAAAGCUCUUUUACCCGGGAUGAUAAUGACAGUACCGGGAGAAUAAGCUCCGGCUAACUCCGUGCCAGCAGCCGCCGCCG
RNAcentral lists this ribosomal RNA (449 nucleotides) under uncultured bacterium. RNAcentral describes it as "partial 16S ribosomal RNA". It matches the Rfam family "Bacterial small subunit ribosomal RNA", at positions 29 to 523 of the family's 1533-position model. The record is from RNAcentral.